GGAGAGCGCCUGCUUUGCACGCAGGAGGUCUGCGGUUCGAUCCCGCAUAGCUCCACCA
RNAcentral lists this transfer RNA (58 nucleotides) under Klebsiella pneumoniae. RNAcentral describes it as "tRNA-Ser". It matches the Rfam family "tRNA", at positions 17 to 71 of the family's 71-position model. Rfam says of the family: Transfer RNA (tRNA) molecules are approximately 80 nucleotides in length. Their secondary structure includes four short double-helical elements and three loops (D, anti-codon, and T loops). Lineage: Bacteria; Pseudomonadati; Pseudomonadota; Gammaproteobacteria; Enterobacterales; Enterobacteriaceae. The record is from RNAcentral.